UGUUGGAGAAAACCAACUAUACUUCUCAUACUUCUCCAUGACUCAAUGUGCAAGAUAACGUUACGAAGAUUUCCGUCUAAGAGAGAAAAGUGACUUGUCGACAUAACUAGUAUUAUUAUUAAUAAUAAAUAAUUUACCUAAUUUUUUAAUAGAGUUGAUUGUGAUCAGAUAAUAAUGCAAAAUUUAUGAAGCGGGGCAAUUAGAGAGUUAACGAAGGAGAAGUAGUGCUGUGC
Molecule: long non-coding RNA, 233 nt
Filed under: Oryza brachyantha (malo sina)
Lineage: Eukaryota; Viridiplantae; Streptophyta; Magnoliopsida; Poales; Poaceae
Description: long non-coding RNA (OBRA_LNC000404)
Source: RNAcentral